GGAUGAACGCUGGCGGCGUGCCUAAUACAUGCAAGUCGAGCGAACAGACGAGGAGCUUGCUCCUCUGACGUUAGCGGCGGACGGGUGAGUACCACGUGGAUAACCUACCUAUAAGACUGGGAUAACUUCGGGAAACCGGUGCUAAUACCGGAUAAUAUAUUGAACCGCAUGGUUCAAUAGUGAAAGACGGUUUUGCUGUCACUUAUAGAUGGAUCCGCGCCGCAUUAGCUAGUUGGUAAGGUAACGGCUUACCAAGGCAACGAUGCGUAGCCGACCUGAGAGGGUGAUCGGCCACACUGGAACUGAGACACGGUCCAGACUCCUACGGGAGGCAGCAGUAGGGAAUCUUCCGCAAUGGGCGAAAGCCUGACGGAGCAACGCCGCGUGAGUGAUGAAGGUCUUCGGAUCGUAAAACUCUGUUAUUAGGGAAGAACAAAUGUGUAAGUAACUAUGCACGUCUUGACGGUACCUAAUCAGAAAGCCACGGCUAACUACGUG
This 498-nucleotide ribosomal RNA is filed under the name uncultured bacterium. Its description in RNAcentral is "partial 16S ribosomal RNA". It matches the Rfam family "Bacterial small subunit ribosomal RNA", at positions 27 to 507 of the family's 1533-position model. The record is from RNAcentral.